ACUGGGCGUAAAGCGUACGUAGGCGGAUUAGUCAGUCAGAGGUGAAAUCCCAGGGCUCAACCCUGGAACUGCCUUUUGAUACUGCUAGUCUUGAGUUCGAGAGAGGUGAGUGGAAUUCCCAAGUGUAGAGGUGAAAUUCGUAGAUAUUUGGAGGAACACCAGUGGCGAAGGCGGCUCACUGGCUCGAUACUGACGCUGAGGUACGAAAGUGUGGGGAGCAAACAGGAUUAGAUACCCUGGUAG
This 243-nucleotide ribosomal RNA is filed under the name uncultured bacterium. RNAcentral's name for it is "partial 16S ribosomal RNA". It matches the Rfam family "Bacterial small subunit ribosomal RNA", at positions 553 to 793 of the family's 1533-position model. The record is from RNAcentral.